RNAcentral lists this ribosomal RNA (468 nucleotides) under uncultured Actinomycetes bacterium. RNAcentral's name for it is "bacterial SSU rRNA". It matches the Rfam family "Bacterial small subunit ribosomal RNA", at positions 46 to 526 of the family's 1533-position model. The record is from RNAcentral. Lineage: Bacteria; Bacillati; Actinomycetota; Actinomycetes.
GCUUAACACAUGCAAGUCGAACGAGUUUUCCGCUUCGGUGGAUUGCUAGUGGCGAACGGGUGAGUAACACGUGGGUGAUCUGCCCCGCACUUUGGGAUAAGCCUGGGAAACUGGGUCUAAUACCGAAUACACCUUGCUGGUUGCAUGACUGGUGGGGGAAAGUUUUCGGACGGUGUGGGAUGAGCCCGCGGCCUAUCAGCUUGUUGGUGGGGUGAUGGCCUACCAAGGCUGCGACGGGUAGCCGGCCUGAGAGGGUGUCCGGUCACACUGGGACUGAGAUACGGCCCAGACUCCUACGGGAGGCAGCAGUGGGGAAUAUUGCGCAAUGGGCGGAAGCCUGACGCAGCGACGCCGCGUGGGGGAUGACGGCCUUCGGGUUGUAAACCUCUUUCGACAGGGACGAAGCGUGAGUGACGGUACCUGUAGAAGAAGCACCGGCCAACUACGUGCCAGCAGCCGCGGUAAUAC